This 253-nucleotide ribosomal RNA is filed under the name uncultured bacterium. RNAcentral's name for it is "partial 16S ribosomal RNA". It matches the Rfam family "Bacterial small subunit ribosomal RNA", at positions 524 to 776 of the family's 1533-position model. The record is from RNAcentral.
UACGUAGGGUGCAAGCGUUGUCCGGAAUUAUUGGGCGUAAAGAGCGUGUAGGCGGCCCGACAAGUCCGCUGUGAAAGUCCAGGGCUCAACCCUGGAAAGCCGGUGGAUACUGUCGGGCUAGAGUCCGGAAGGGGCGAGUGGAAUUCCUGGUGUAGCGGUGAAAUGCGCAGAUAUCAGGAGGAACACCAAUGGCGAAGGCAGCUCGCUGGGACGUGACUGACGCUGAGACGCGAAAGCGUGGGGAGCAAACAGG